RNAcentral lists this ribosomal RNA (497 nucleotides) under uncultured bacterium. RNAcentral describes it as "partial 16S ribosomal RNA". It matches the Rfam family "Bacterial small subunit ribosomal RNA", at positions 28 to 507 of the family's 1533-position model. The record is from RNAcentral.
GACGAACGCUGGCGGCGUGCCUAAUACAUGCAAGUAGAACGCUGAAGAGAGGAGCUUGCUCUUCUUGGAUGAGUUGCGAACGGGUGAGUAACGCGUAGGUAACCUGCCUGGUAGCGGGGGAUAACUAUUGGAAACGAUAGCUAAUACCGCAUAAAAUUGAUUAUUGCGUGAUAAUUAAUUGAAAGAUGCAACUGCAUCACUACCAGAUGGACCUGCGUUGUAUUAGCUAGUUGGUGAGGUAACGGCUCACCAAGGCGACGAUACAUAGCCGACCUGAGAGGGUGAUCGGCCACACUGGGACUGAGACACGGCCCAGACUCCUACGGGAGGCAGCAGUAGGGAAUCUUCGGCAAUGGGGGGAACCCUGACCGAGCAACGCCGCGUGAGUGAAGAAGGGUUUCGGAUCGUAAAGCUCUGUUGUAAGAGAAGAACGGGUGUGAGAGUGGAAAGUUCACACUGUGACGGUAUCUUACCAGAAAGGGACGGCUAACUACGUG